Molecule: ribosomal RNA, 484 nt
Filed under: uncultured bacterium
Lineage: Bacteria
Description: partial 16S ribosomal RNA
Rfam family: Bacterial small subunit ribosomal RNA
Source: RNAcentral
AUUGAACGCUGGCGGCAGGCCUAACACAUGCAAGUCGAGCGGAUGAAGGGAGCUUGCUCCUGGAUUCAGCGGCGGACGGGUGAGUAAUGCCUAGGAAUCUGCCUGGUAGUGGGGGAUAACGUCCGAAAACGGGCGCUAAUACCGCAUACGUCCUGAGGGAGAAAGUGGGGGAUCUUCGGACCUCACGCUAUCAGAUGAGCCUAGGUCGGAUUAGCUAGUUGGUGGGGUAAAGGCCUACCAAGGCGGCGAUCCGUAACUGGUCUGAGAGGAUGAUCAGUCACACUGGAACUGAGACACGGUCCAGACUCCUACGGGAGGCAGCAGUGGGGAAUAUUGGACAAUGGGCGAAAGCCUGAUCCAGCCAUGCCGCGUGUGUGAAGAAGGUCUUCGGAUUGUAAAGCACUUUAAGUUGGGAGGAAGGGCAGUAAGUUAAUACCUUGCUGUUUUGACGUUACCAACAGAAUAAGCACCGGCUAACUUCGUG